UACGGAGGAUGCGAGCGUUAUCCGGAUUUAUUGGGUUUAAAGGGUGCGUAGGCGGGCAUUUAAGCCGGCGGUCAAAUGUCGGGGCUCAACCCCGGCCUGCCGUCGGAACUGGGUGCCUUGAGUGGGCGAGAAGUAUGCGGAAUGCGUGGUGUAGCGGUGAAAUGCUUAGAUAUCAUGAAGAACUCCGAUCGCGAAGGCAAGUGUCCGGGGUGCAACUGACGCUGAGGCUCGAAAGUGCGGGUAUCAAACAGG
This 252-nucleotide ribosomal RNA is filed under the name uncultured Bacteroidales bacterium. Its description in RNAcentral is "partial 16S ribosomal RNA". It matches the Rfam family "Bacterial small subunit ribosomal RNA", at positions 524 to 776 of the family's 1533-position model. Lineage: Bacteria; Pseudomonadati; Bacteroidota; Bacteroidia; Bacteroidales. The record is from RNAcentral.